CAAUAGCGUAUAUUAAAGUUGUUGCAGUUAAAAAGCUCGUAGUUGGAUUUCUGGUGGGAGCGAUCGGUCUGGCGCUUAGCGCGAGUACUUGCAUCGUCUCCGGCCAUCCUUGGGGAGAGUCUGUCUGGCACUAAGUUGUCGGGCAGAGGAUCCUCAUCGUUUACUGUGAAAAAAUUAGAGUGUUCAAAGCAGGCUUAUGCCGUUGAAUAUAUUAGCAUGGAAUAAUAAGAUAGGACUUUGGUACUAUUUUGUUGGUUUGCGCACCAAAGUAAUGAUUAAUAGGGACAGUUGGGGGUAUUCGUAUUCCGUUGUCAGAGGUGAAAUUCUUGGAUUUACGGAAGACGAACUACUGCGAAAGCAUUUACCAAGGAUGUUUUCAUUA
RNAcentral lists this ribosomal RNA (382 nucleotides) under uncultured eukaryote. Its description in RNAcentral is "partial 18S ribosomal RNA". It matches the Rfam family "Eukaryotic small subunit ribosomal RNA", at positions 592 to 975 of the family's 1831-position model. The record is from RNAcentral.